Molecule: ribosomal RNA, 506 nt
Filed under: uncultured bacterium
Lineage: Bacteria
Description: partial 16S ribosomal RNA
Rfam family: Bacterial small subunit ribosomal RNA
Source: RNAcentral
AGUGAACGCUGGCGGUAGGCCUAACACAUGCAAGUCGAACGGCAGCACAGGAGAGCUUGCUCUCUGGGUGGCGAGUGGCGGACGGGUGAGGAAUACAUCGGAAUCUACUUUUUCGUGGGGGAUAACGUAGGGAAACUUACGCUAAUACCGCAUACGACCUACGGGUGAAAGCAGGGGACCUUCGGGCCUUGCGCGAUUGAAUGAGCCGAUGUCGGAUUAGCUAGUUGGCGGGGUAAAGGCACACCAAGGCGACGAUCCGUAGCUGGUCUGGGAGGAUGAUCAGCCACACUGGAACUGAGACACGGUCCGGACUCCUACGGGAGGCAGCAGUGGGGAAUAGUGGACAAUGGGCGCAAGCCUGAUCCAGCCAUACCGCGUGGGUGAAGAAGGCCUUCGGGUUGUAAAGCCCUUUUGUUGGGAAAGAAAUCCAGCUGGCUAAUACCCGGUUGGGAUGACGGUACCCAAAGAAUAAGCACCGGCUAACUUCGUGCCAGCCGCCGCGGUAA